This 259-nucleotide ribosomal RNA is filed under the name uncultured bacterium. RNAcentral describes it as "partial 16S ribosomal RNA". It matches the Rfam family "Bacterial small subunit ribosomal RNA", at positions 333 to 609 of the family's 1533-position model. The record is from RNAcentral.
GGGCCCUACGGGAGGCAGCAGUGGGGAAUAUUGCACAAUGGGGGAAACCCUGAUGCAGCGACGCCGCGUGAGUGAAGAAGUAUUUCGGUAUGUAAAGCUCUAUCAGCAGGAACGAGACAAGACGGUACCUGACUAAGAAGCCCCGGCUCACUACGUGCCAGCAGCCGCGGUAAUACGUAGGGGGCAAGCGUUAUCCGGAAUUACUGGGUGUAAAGGGAGCGUAGACGGCUGUGCAAGUCUGGAGUGAAAGGCGGGGGAC